AUCGCUUCUCGGCCUUUUGGCUAAGAUCAAGUGUAGUAUCUGUUCUUAUCACCUCGCUUCUUGAAAUUGAUUAAAUUAUUGUAUUCUAAUAUUAAAAGUAGAUGUGCGGUGAAUGGCUAUCUGAC
RNAcentral lists this small nuclear RNA (125 nucleotides) under Oryzias javanicus (javanese ricefish). Its description in RNAcentral is "U2 spliceosomal RNA (ENSOJAG00000004484.1)". It matches the Rfam family "U2 spliceosomal RNA". From Rfam's summary of the family: U2 is a small nuclear RNA (snRNA) component of the spliceosome (involved in pre-mRNA splicing). Complementary binding between U2 snRNA (in an area lying towards the 5' end but 3' to hairpin I) and the branchpoint sequence (BPS) of the intron results the bulging out of an unpaired adenosine, on the BPS, which initiates a nucleophilic attack at the intronic 5' splice site, thus starting the first of two transesterification reactions that mediate splicing. Lineage: Eukaryota; Metazoa; Chordata; Actinopteri; Beloniformes; Adrianichthyidae. The record is from Rfam by way of RNAcentral.